Molecule: ribosomal RNA, 1238 nt
Filed under: Bacillus velezensis
Lineage: Bacteria; Bacillati; Bacillota; Bacilli; Caryophanales; Bacillaceae
Description: bacterial SSU rRNA
Rfam family: Bacterial small subunit ribosomal RNA
Source: RNAcentral
GCGCAAUGGCGGCGUGCCUAUACUGCACGUCGAGCGGACAGAUGGGAGCUUGCUCCCUGAUGUUAGCGGCGGACGGGUGAGUAACACGUGGGUAACCUGCCUGUAAGACUGGGAUAACUCCGGGAAACCGGGGCUAAUACCGGAUGGUUGUUUGAACCGCAUGGUUCAGACAUAAAAGGUGGCUUCGGCUACCACUUACAGAUGGACCCGCGGCGCAUUAGCUAGUUGGUGAGGUAACGGCUCACCAAGGCAACGAUGCGUAGCCGACCUGAGAGGGUGAUCGGCCACACUGGGACUGAGACACGGCCCAGACUCCUACGGGAGGCAGCAGUAGGGAAUCUUCCGCAAUGGACGAAAGUCUGACGGAGCAACGCCGCGUGAGUGAUGAAGGUUUUCGGAUCGUAAAGCUCUGUUGUUAGGGAAGAACAAGUGCCGUUCAAAUAGGGCGGCACCUUGACGGUACCUAACCAGAAAGCCACGGCUAACUACGUGCCAGCAGCCGCGGUAAUACGUAGGUGGCAAGCGUUGUCCGGAAUUAUUGGGCGUAAAGGGCUCGCAGGCGGUUUCUUAAGUCUGAUGUGAAAGCCCCCGGCUCAACCGGGGAGGGUCAUUGGAAACUGGGGAACUUGAGUGCAGAAGAGGAGAGUGGAAUUCCACGUGUAGCGGUGAAAUGCGUAGAGAUGUGGAGGAACACCAGUGGCGAAGGCGACUCUCUGGUCUGUAACUGACGCUGAGGAGCGAAAGCGUGGGGAGCGAACAGGAUUAGAUACCCUGGUAGUCCACGCCGUAAACGAUGAGUGCUAAGUGUUAGGGGGUUUCCGCCCCUUAGUGCUGCAGCUAACGCAUUAAGCACUCCGCCUGGGGAGUACGGUCGCAAGACUGAAACUCAAAGGAAUUGACGGGGGCCCGCACAAGCGGUGGAGCAUGUGGUUUAAUUCGAAGCAACGCGAAGAACCUUACCAGGUCUUGACAUCCUCUGACAAUCCUAGAGAUAGGACGUCCCCUUCGGGGGCAGAGUGACAGGUGGUGCAUGGUUGUCGUCAGCUCGUGUCGUGAGAUGUUGGGUUAAGUCCCGCAACGAGCGCAACCCUUGAUCUUAGUUGCCAGCAUUCAGUUGGGCACUCUAAGGUGACUGCCGGUGACAAACCGGAGGAAGGUGGGGAUGACGUCAAAUCAUCAUGCCCCUUAUGACCUGGGCUACCACCGUGCUACAAUGGGACAGAACAAAGGGCGGCGAA